UUACUUUAUGUUUUGAGAAUGCAUGCAGCACUUUUUCAACAGAUGGGGACAACACAGAAUAAAAUUGGGUUAGGGUGAAGGUAAUUUUUAUUACAACACUACUCUAAUCUGUUAGAGUAGAUUUCGAAGCAGGUUUUUUACUUUUCUUUUUGAAGCAAACCUCAGGCAUGGGGAAAAUAUGUUUUCUGAAGAUGUACCUUGAAGCAGUAGCAUUUAAAAGGCUGUUGAGGCAUUAAAAGGUUUAACUGAACAGCUGUUCAUAAGCACUUUUAAAAAAAACUUUCCUAUUUUCUAUUUGCUGUAAACUGAGUAUUACUGUAUUACAGCUAUAAGAGCAGUUGGUAUCUUGAGUUACUAGAUGCCUGUUUAAGGCUUUUAAAAAUGAGAUGACAUUUAAAAUCUUACUUCCUGUGCAAUAAGAUAACUUUUUUUUGUAUAAGCUUGCUGUUUUGCAAGGUAGUAUAUACAGUAUUUCAAAAAAAGCAUAUGGUUAUAUUAGCUUUUUCUAUUCAUAGAAAUGUUGGCGAUUUCAAGUAAUGUCAUUUGCUACUUUAGCCAGCAGCACAACAGAUUAUCACUGAGUGUCAUUUAACAGAAGAUUUGGUCUAGGCUUUCAAGUUUUCUGUUUAAUUCUGGGAUGAUUUUCUGGGAUGAACAGAAACAGGGCAAAAAGAAAUCCUAUAAACUAGUAGCAAACACCUUCUGUCUCUGUGUGUCUUUAUGUAGCCAGACCCACACUAUUCAUACACACAAAAGGGAGGUAUCCACAGGUGUGAGCGAACUCCAAUGUUUGCAGAAGUAUAACAAAUCCUUAGACACCGCCCCCCACGAGAAGCAAGUCAAUGAAGAUUGAACAUACUGAGGAUGUGUGUGAAAACAUGAGGAAUUAAAUGGACUAUCCUGGAAGAGGAUACUGUAAGUCUAGCUUACUGGAACACUUGUUACAAAUACCUUGGACCUAGAGAAAAUCCUCCUAAUUUUCUUUCCCAUUCCCAAGCAGCAUUUUUCAUGGAGGGUGUAAUGUUGUUCACCUCCUCACUGGGCCCUUGAAAGGAACAAGGCUGGCAUUGGACUGGAUAAGAGUCAAAAGGACACAAAAAUAAAACCAAAGCUAGGAAGGACCUAUAAUUCUGCAGUGACGAUUCUUACAUUCCAGUCUUUCAUAGACACUACUGCCUUCCAUAGAUACCUCUUUCCCCAAGUAUGGAAAACCAUUAACUGUGCCAUGUGUACAUGAACACACUACAUAUGGCCAGCUCCACACAUAACAAAAUAAGUUUCUUCUUUCUGUUUAUUUAUUGAUUUCAUUUUGAAUAAAGCUUGUUCAGUAUUUGUCAUAUAUUGUUGUGUUUAGGAAGGAUUUGUGUAGGAAGAUUGAAGUGUAGUAAGGCUCUGAGUCACUCACAAAUGUUUGAGCAGAAAUUUGGGACAGUAAAUGAAACAGCAUAAUCUCUUUUCUUUCUUUUUAAUUGUUUGGUCCAGAAUGCAAAAGGGUUCAUAUUGCUACUAACACUUAGGAGAUGAGACACUAGCCAAGCUAUUUACCUUAGUCUGGAGUUUAUUACAUUGAAAUAGCUGAAAUUCUUGCAGCUGUGUAAAAAAAGGAAGAAAAUGCCAGAUAAAUGGGGGUAUCAUAUAUUUUGAGUACUUUACCCAAAGCCGCCAGAGACAGAAAGCAACCAAGUUACUUUUCCUCCUGGCAUGAGUAAGUGGAGUACAUAAUCUAGUCCAGCUGCACUGAUUUGCUGUAGUGUUCUGUUACAUAGGAUUUUUGGUUAGUAUUUUUUUGUACUUUUCUAGCUGUAUUACAGGCUCAGUUAGGUGCUAGGUUUAAGAGUAUUUUAAAAUUUAGAAUGUAAUCCUUGAAACAAGUCUUGUCUUGGGGGAUAUAGAACUUAUCUGUAGAUAUUUAAAGUAGAGCUAAAGACAAAGACAGAUUCAACAGUUCCUGAUUCUGCCCAGGAGGCUAGACCAGAACCAGAGUGUUAAUAAUAACCAGAUGCUGGUGAAUAACUUUGCACAAUCAUGUGCCAACAAGCCUCUUACUGGUAUUGUUCUGAAGUGCUAAUGUUGGUGUUCUGCCAGAAGCAGAAUAUGUUUCCAGUGCAGCUAGUGUGACUGUCUUGUACUCUGUUGAUUGUGGGAAUGUGCUCUUCCUCAUGCGGAUUCUAAUUUGAAGGCUUAUACCAUGCUAAUUGAUAAGUUAUCAGGGUUUGCCAAACCGUUAACUGCUAUCAACUAAUUAUGAGUGAGACCCCAGAUAAAAAAAGAUCACUUAGGAGAUGAUGGGAGGCAGGUUUAAUUAUUAAGAUAAUGUCUGUCUAUCUUUCCCAUGGGAGUUUGGGGAGAGAGAUGAGGAUAGUUUCUUACCAGGUUUCACAUUCUUUGCAACUAUCCACUGAUUGAUACUACAUCAGCUACACUGAUACUGAUUAAAAAAGAGGCAGCUUUUUCUUAUUUCCCCUGACCCUCUGCUAUAUACGGCAGAUUUAAAUAAUGAACUACUUGUUUAAUAACACUAACUGUGUGAGGGUCUCACAAGUCACCAACAUUAUCUGAUUUCUUUGGCAUAACCAUGAUCUUAUUAGAAUCAGAAACUUGGUGUAUGGUGUGCUCUUCUAACUCGUUUUGCAAAAUAUGCUCUCUCCCCCCCCCCCCGAGUUGUCCUAUUAAUCUUACUGAACAUGCUUGGGCUUCUGUUACACCUUGACCUGACACAGUAUUAUUUCCUGUACUGUUUUCUUAGACAUUUCUUCCUCCCUCUAGAAAACUAGCCAGGAAUCCCUUCAGUUUUGAUCCAAUGCUUAAAGAGGCACCAAGGUUGGUUUCCAGUUAAGAUAUGCAAAAGUAUGUGUAUAGACAACUCAUCAUAAACAGUAUUGUGAAUUGAAUUGCUUGAAUUCUACUCAAAGUGAUUGAAGACUUGUCUGUUUUACAUGCCAGCUACAUUCCAUUCAACUCAUAACUAAAGCUCAGUAGAUUGACUAGUCAUAGCUGCCUUAAGUAAAACUAAAUGCUCAAGUUAUCUCAUCUGGGCCACCGAGGCUUCUAGAAUUAGCAGAUAAACAUAUAUACAUAUUACUCUUCUCCAUGUGUCUCUAGUGCAGGGGUGGCCAACUCCCAAGAGACUGCAAUCUACUUUCAGAAUAAAAAUCUGGCAGUGAUCUACCCCCGGUUUUUUAGGGGUUCAGCUCAAAGUUGUUGAGCUUUUUUGGGAAGAAAGCACUGUUUUGGGGGGUUAAGGUGCAGGCUUUUUGUGGAGUGGGAGGAAGGCAAGGGGUUAGUUCACACACAAAAACAUCGCUAUGGAUUAAAACAGCCACACAGAGGGAACUCCAUCUUCCCUUCCUGAGUUCAAACAGCAAUGGAGGGCGGGACAAGGAGGCGGGACAGGAGUCAGAUUUACUGACGCAGAGGAAAGGGAGCCAGAGAUCGGCCGCGAUCUACCGAAACAUUGCGGGGAUCUACCAGUAGAUUGUUAUUGACCUGUUGGACAUCCCUGCUCUAGUGCAUGUGUCACCCCCCCCCCCAAAAAAGGCUCAUUGUCUGGCUAUCAUGUCCUAUUUUAUGUUCAUUGCCUAGCUGACUGGCAAACUCUCACUGCAAAACCUUGCCCAAGAAAGAGACAUUUGUAACUAGGCAGUAGUUACUAUAAUCCAAAGAAUGCCCAAUGAAGUUAUAUUCAGAUGUGGCCUUUGCAAAAACGUCCUUGAAGUAGUCAGGACCACCCAUCUGCCAAAAAGCCAUUUAUAAUAUUCUGAACCCAGGCAGACAGUCCCUCAUUACUAGAAAUUAUAAGUUGAGGAGAUCAAAGGUGCUUACAACAGAUAGGUCAGACUCCCCCCCCCCCCCCCAAGUUCCUUGUUCACCUCCUGUUGUGCCAACAAUAGAGACUAAUCAUGCAAUACUAGCUUAGAUGAAACACUGGUUUCUUUUCUGGAUCUACCCAUUUGAAAAUGUGGCAUCUAGUCCAAUGUGAGUGAUUUGUCUUUAAGGUGCUUAGUAAAUAUCUGGCCUCCAAUGGUUCCCUCAACUCCACAUGGCUCAAGCUGAAGUAGGUUCUGACCCAACUGAUAUAUUUCCAGAUGAUGGAGAAAAAGUAUUACUGCUUCACCUUCAUCCCAUCUACAGGCUUAAUACUGAACUCUUAUCUGUGUCUGAAUGACACAUCUUUUGUCACUCUAAUUGUCUCCUAACCUGUUUUAUUGGUUUGAGAUUUCUAAACCAAAGACCCAAGCAAGUGUUACAGUGUGGGAGAUGGCACUUAGGAGCUACUAAGUUAAUUGCUUUGGUCAUCUCUUCAUUUUACAAAGUGACCAAAACAUUGCCAGAAUUGCAAAGCACACCUACCAGAAACACCUCAGUAAAAUCAUCCAACCUACAGAAGUACAUGUCUUUCUGGAAAAAAGUCAAAAUCACCUCUGCAAAGAUAAGUCCCUUUUCAUUAACCAUUUGGGUUCUUUGAGAGUUCUGUCCUAGGCUCAUUGUUGUCCAAUGUUUUUAUAAAUGACUUGGAUAAAAGAAUUGAGGGGAUGCUCAUCAAAUUUGCAGAUGACACCAAACUGGGAGGGGUAGCUAAUUCCACAGAAGACAGAAUCAGAAUUUAAAAUGACCAUAACAGAUUGGAGAACUGGGUGCAAGCUAACAAAAUUAAUUUCAGUAGGGACAAAUGUAAGGAUCUGCCCUUAGGCAGGAAGAACGAGAUGCCCAAAUAUAGCAUGGGAGGACAUCCAGCUUAUUAGCAGGACAUGUGAAAAGAUCUAGGGGUCUUGGUGGACCACAAGCUUAACAUGAGUCAACAGUGUAAUGCAGCAGCAAAAAUGCUAAUGCUAUUCUAGGUUGCAUCAACAGAAGUAUAGUGUCCAGAUCAAAGGAAGUAAUUGUAUCACUAUUCUGCCUUAGUCAGACCACACAUGGAAUACUGGGCACCACAAUUUAAGAAGGAUGUUGACAAGCUGGAAUGUGUGCAGAGGAGGGUAACCAAGAUGAUUAGGGGUCUGGAAACUAAGCCUUAUGUGGAGUGCUUGAAGGAGCUGGGUAUGUUUCGCCUGGAAAAUAGGAGACUGAGAGGAGAUAUGAUAGCCAUCUUCAAAUAUCUUAAGGGCUGUCACAUGGAGGAGGGAGCAUGCUUGUUUUCACCUGCUCUGGAAGGUAGGACUCUAACCAAUGGCUUCAGGUUGAUUUCGACUAAAGAUUC
This is a non-coding RNA of Podarcis lilfordi (Lilford's wall lizard), 5197 nucleotides long. The record is from the annotation of a GenBank genome assembly. Lineage: Eukaryota; Metazoa; Chordata; Lepidosauria; Squamata; Lacertidae.